CCUGGCCCUCUAACGCUGGGCGGAGUUAGAGGCCUGGGUGGAGUUACCAGCUCCUGCCCAGAACUGAGCAGCACACACGUCAUCCCACCACCAUCUCCAACCAGGAAAAUGUUCAAAGUCAUGGAAUAGAACCACUGAAGUGCAUUUGGGAAUGAGGACUCUGAAAACCAUUUCAGUUCUGAGAAAGUGUGUAAUCAGGGAACAUAUAACUUUCAACAUUACAGUAGGUUGCAAGUGAAGAUUGACGAGGUUGGUGGCUGCAAAAUGCCGUUUCAAGUUUGCAGGCAUAAGCAAGAAUGGACUCCCCCACCUCGC
Long non-coding RNA from Pseudophryne corroboree (corroboree frog), 315 nucleotides. RefSeq lists it as uncharacterized. Lineage: Eukaryota; Metazoa; Chordata; Amphibia; Anura; Myobatrachidae. The transcript has 3 exons. The record is from RefSeq and is a predicted model, not a curated record.